CCUACGGGUGGCUGCAGUGGGGGAUAUUGCACAAUGGGGGAAACCCUGAUGCAGCGACGCCGCGUGGGCGAAGAAGUAUUUCGGUAUGUAAAGCCCUAUCAGCAGGGAAGAAGAAAUGACGGUACCUGAGUAAGAAGCACCGGCUAAAUACGUGCCAGCAGCCGCGGUAAUACGUAUGGUGCAGGCGUUAUCCGGAUUUACUGGGUGUAAAGGGAGUGCAGGCGGCACGGCAAGUCUGCUGUGAAAGCCCGCGGCCCAACUGCGGGACUGCAGUGGGUACUGCCGGGCUGGAGUGCAGGAGCGGUAGGCGGAAUGCCUAGUGUAGCGGUGAAAUGCGUAGAGAUUA
RNAcentral lists this ribosomal RNA (346 nucleotides) under uncultured bacterium. Its description in RNAcentral is "partial 16S ribosomal RNA". It matches the Rfam family "Bacterial small subunit ribosomal RNA", at positions 338 to 699 of the family's 1533-position model. The record is from RNAcentral.